GGAGAUGUAGCUCAGUGAUAGUACUUGCCUAGCAUGCAUGAAUCCUGGGUUCUAUUCCCAGCAUCACAA
This 69-nucleotide transfer RNA is filed under the name Marmota marmota marmota (Alpine marmot). It matches the Rfam family "tRNA". Rfam says of the family: Transfer RNA (tRNA) molecules are approximately 80 nucleotides in length. Their secondary structure includes four short double-helical elements and three loops (D, anti-codon, and T loops). The record is from Rfam by way of RNAcentral. RNAcentral also lists the same sequence under 4 other names. Lineage: Eukaryota; Metazoa; Chordata; Mammalia; Rodentia; Sciuridae.